Molecule: long non-coding RNA, 470 nt
Filed under: Medicago truncatula (barrel medic)
Lineage: Eukaryota; Viridiplantae; Streptophyta; Magnoliopsida; Fabales; Fabaceae
Description: long non-coding RNA (MTRU_LNC002253)
Source: RNAcentral
AUUAGGCUUUUGUUCCAAUCAAGAAAAUUCAAAAACCUUCCACCAGGUCCAACUUCUCUUCCUAUAAUUGGUAACCUUCACCAUCUCAAACGUCCCCUAAACCGUACCUUUAAGGCACUCACUGAAAAGUAUGGUAACGUGAUUUCCCUUUGGUUUGGUUCACGUCUUGUUGUCGUUGUUUCUUCACUUUCCGAAUUUCAAGAAUGUUUUACAAAAAACGACGUUGUCCUAGCAAAUAGACCACGGUUUUUAUCCGGAAAAUAUAUUUUCUACAAUUACACCACUUUAGGAUCUACCUCCUACGGUGAACACUGGCGUAACCUUCGUCGUAUCACUUCCCUUGAUGUUCUUUCAAACCACCGUAUCAACAACUUUGCUCCUAUCCGAAGAGACGAGACUCAGAGGUUGAUCAAGAAGUUGGCUGAAGAUUCAUCCACUAAAUUUGCUGAAGUAGAACUUACUUUCAGGUU